This is a long non-coding RNA of Euleptes europaea (tarantolino), 202 nucleotides long. RefSeq lists it as uncharacterized. NCBI's taxonomy places the organism in Eukaryota, Metazoa, Chordata, Lepidosauria, Squamata, Sphaerodactylidae. The record is from RefSeq and is a predicted model, not a curated record. The transcript has 3 exons.
GUUGUCCGAAGGUGACGAGGCGCUGGUCUCCGAACAGCUAAACCAGUUUAUGGGCAGCCUGGUUGAGCACAAAGAGGCUCUGUCUCCUGGCAGUCUCCAGACAGUGUGUAUGUUUGUGGAGGAAAGCAUGCUGGGACGAUCCUACUGGCGAAACAACCUGAUGUUGCUGCUGAAGAGCACCGCUGCCACGUUUGAUUCGAUG